GUGAAUCAUCGAAUCUUUGAACGCAAAUUGCACUCUCUUCUGAGAGUAUGCCUGUUUGAGGGUCAGCCUAAAAAAAAUCGACACAGUUGCUGUUACGCGGUAACAUUCGUCGGAAAUUGGGUCAUCUUAAACCUUUGGGUUUAAGCGGCUAAAAAUUUUCUUUACGAUUCAAUGAACGUAUCUAUGAUUUUAUCUCCUUUUACGUUUAAGUUUCCUUUCUUUUUUAGCCG
RNAcentral lists this unclassified non-coding RNA (230 nucleotides) under Glomus sp. RNAcentral's name for it is "partial contains 5.8S ribosomal RNA and internal transcribed spacer 2". The stretch from base 1 to 65 matches the Rfam family "5.8S ribosomal RNA", at positions 84 to 154 of the family's 154-position model. The record is from RNAcentral. Lineage: Eukaryota; Fungi; Glomeromycota; Glomeromycetes; Glomerales; Glomeraceae.